UUGUUGAGGAGUAAGGUCUCCACAGCGACGAUUAUGUGUCCGCACCUUGAGAGGGAUAUGGCCCACAUGAGAUGUGACACAGUGCCGAGUCUUAUGGGGGGCGGCAGCUGUGGAGUAUUUUGCACUGUGGGAAAACCCGAUACAGAAAAACCCCGUGAGAAAUAAAAACGCUUUGAGUGUUAUAGAUCUGUCUCAUAUGAAAAUAUAGUCGCUGUCCUAUAUGAAAACGCCAGGGCAAAUAUGUGCCACCGCAGCCGGUGUUAUAUAUAGGGCAAGAGUGUUCUCGGAAUUAUUGUGGGUAAAGAGUAUGUGUAGGGUUUCUCAUAUCUCAGAUGAAAAAUUCCGGGUCUACAGUAGUGAGCUUCAUUAAAAUGGUGAAUCUUUAGUGUGCAGAAGAAAGUGGAAUUCUCCGUGUAGCGGUGAAAUAAGUAGUUAUUAUUAGGAACACCACCAGUGAAGAAGACUUUUUUGUGUACAAUAAACGAUGAUGCAGCAUAGAAGCGUGAGCAGCCAACAUUAUAUACCACCGUAGUACUCCAUGUAAUCAAUGAUUAAUAGUUGUUGUAUGUCGAAUGUACCCGCUGUGGUUAGCACUUUACACAAUAAGCAUUGGGCGUACGGUGUCAGGUCUCAAAAUCAAAAGUAUAGAGAAUGACCGGCACACGUCGCAGACCGUGUAGCAUAAUUUGUAGUUAGAAGCAGAACGUUGCACAUGACUUACAUCCGUCUUCCCAGCCCUUACCCGGACUGAUGGUAUUCGUUAGGCACAGGGGGCCGGGGGGGGCUGGGUGUUGUUAAGUUGGGUUGUGGAGUGGUGGGUUUAGUUCCGGAAAGAAGGCAAACCCUUUUCUUUGGUUCCUUCCGUUAAGUUGGGCACUCUAGAGAGACUGCCGGGGUUAACUGGGAGGAAGGUGGGGAUGACGUCAAAUCAUCAUGCCCCUUAUGUUUAGGGCUACACACGUGCUACAAUGGUUGGUACAAUGGGAUGCAAGACCGCGAGGUGGAGCUAAUCUCAUAAAAACAGUCUCAGUUCGGAUUGUAGGCUGAAACUCGCCUACAUGAAG
This 1064-nucleotide ribosomal RNA is filed under the name Clostridium sp. R61. Its description in RNAcentral is "partial 16S ribosomal RNA". It matches the Rfam family "Bacterial small subunit ribosomal RNA", at positions 247 to 1325 of the family's 1533-position model. Lineage: Bacteria; Bacillati; Bacillota; Clostridia; Eubacteriales; Clostridiaceae. The record is from RNAcentral.